RNAcentral lists this ribosomal RNA (457 nucleotides) under uncultured Microcystis clone 04. RNAcentral's name for it is "bacterial SSU rRNA". It matches the Rfam family "Bacterial small subunit ribosomal RNA", at positions 129 to 619 of the family's 1533-position model. Lineage: Bacteria; Bacillati; Cyanobacteriota; Cyanophyceae; Chroococcales; Microcystaceae. The record is from RNAcentral.
ACUUCAGGACGGGGACAACAGUUGGAAACGACUGCUAAUACCCGAUGUGCCGGGAGGUGAAACCUAAUUGGCCUGAAGAAGAGCUUGCGUCUGAUUAGCUAGUUGGUGGGGUAAGAGCCUACCAAGGCGACGAUCAGUAGCUGGUCUGAGAGGAUGAGCAGCCACACUGGGACUUAGACACGGCCCAGACUCCUACGGGAGGCAGCAGUGGGGAAUUUUCCGCAAUGGGCGAAAGCCUGACGGAGCAACGCCGCGUGAGGGAGGAAGGUCUUUGGAUUGUAAACCUCUUUUCUCAAGGAAGAAGUUCUGACGGUACUUGAGGAAUCAGCCUCGGCUAACUCCGUGCCAGCAGCCGCGGUAAUACGGGGGAGGCAAGCGUUAUCCGGAAUUAUUGGGCGUAAAGCGUCCGCAGGUAGUCAGCCAAGUCUGCUGUCAAAUCAGGUUGCUUAACGACCUA